Molecule: transfer RNA, 76 nt
Filed under: Chlamydia trachomatis
Lineage: Bacteria; Pseudomonadati; Chlamydiota; Chlamydiia; Chlamydiales; Chlamydiaceae
Also listed under: 35 other names
Description: tRNA-Thr(tgt)
Rfam family: tRNA
About the family: Transfer RNA (tRNA) molecules are approximately 80 nucleotides in length. Their secondary structure includes four short double-helical elements and three loops (D, anti-codon, and T loops). Further hydrogen bonds mediate the characteristic L-shaped molecular structure. tRNAs have two regions of fundamental functional importance: the anti-codon, which is responsible for specific mRNA codon recognition, and the 3' end, to which the tRNAs corresponding amino acid is attached (by aminoacyl-tRNA synthetases). tRNAs cope with the degeneracy of the genetic code in two manners: having more than one tRNA (with a specific anti-codon) for a particular amino acid; and 'wobble' base-pairing, i.e. permitting non-standard base-pairing at the 3rd anti-codon position.
Source: RNAcentral
GCCGUUUUAGCUCAGUUGGCAGAGCAACUGACUUGUAAUCAGUAGGUCGUAGGUUCAAGUCCUAUAAACGGCACCA